RNAcentral lists this ribosomal RNA (254 nucleotides) under uncultured bacterium. RNAcentral describes it as "partial 16S ribosomal RNA". It matches the Rfam family "Bacterial small subunit ribosomal RNA", at positions 524 to 776 of the family's 1533-position model. The record is from RNAcentral.
UACGGGGGGAGCAAGCGUUGUUCGGAUUUACUGGGCGUAAAGGGCGCGUAGGCGGUCGUGACAAGUCACUUGUGAAAUCUCCGGGCUUAACUCGGAACGGUCAAGUGAUACUGUCGGACUAGAGUACAGAAGGGGCAACUGGAAUUCUCGGUGUAGCGGUGAAAUGCGUAGAUAUCGAGAGGAACACCUGCGGCGAAGGCACUCUACUGGGCCAUUACUGACACUGAGAGACGAAAGCUAGGGGAGCAAAUGGG